GCUGUGGCUCAGUGGUAGAGCAUUUGUCUUGCAUGCAGAAGGUCCCAGGUUCAGUUCCCAGUAUCUCCA
This is a non-coding RNA of Podarcis lilfordi (Lilford's wall lizard), 69 nucleotides long. Lineage: Eukaryota; Metazoa; Chordata; Lepidosauria; Squamata; Lacertidae. The record is from the annotation of a GenBank genome assembly.